RNAcentral lists this ribosomal RNA (1459 nucleotides) under metagenome. RNAcentral's name for it is "bacterial LSU rRNA". It matches the Rfam family "Bacterial large subunit ribosomal RNA", at positions 1422 to 2910 of the family's 2925-position model. The record is from RNAcentral.
UUGGGGUUAAUAUUCCAGUACUUUUUAUAACUGCGAUGCGGUGACGGAGUAGUGAAACUGACGCGAACUGACGGAAUAGUUCGUUAAAGGCCGUAGGUAUAGGAUUUGUAGUUAAGUACGCAGAUCUUGCUGAAAGCUGAUAGUACGCAGAACCUUCGGGGGAUGUGAUAGUUCAGGUAAUCAGACUUCCAAGAAAACCCGCUAAGCUUCAGGUUAUAAAAACCCGUACCGUAAACCGACACAGGUAGUCGAGGAGAGAAUCCUAAGGUGCUCGAGUGAAUCAUGGCUAAGGAACUCGGCAAAAUGGCCCUGUAACUUCGGGAGAAGGGGCGCUUCAGCAAUGAAGCCGCAGUGAAAAGGCCCAGGCGACUGUUUAACAAAAACACAUGGCUAUGCAAAAUCGAAAGAUGACGUAUAUGGCCUGACACCUGCCCGGUGCCGGAAGGUUAAGAGGGGAUGUUAGGGUUAAACCGACGCAUUGAAUCGAAGCCCCGGUAAACGGCGGCCGUAACGAUAACGGUCCUAAGGUAGCGAAAUUCCUUGUCGGGUAAGUUCCGACCUGCACGAAUGGUGUAACGAUCUGGGCGCUGUCUCAGCCAUGAGCUCGGUGAAAUUGUGGUAUCGGUGAAGACGCCGGUUACCCGCAACGGGACGGAAAGACCCCAUGCACCUUCACUACAACUUAACAUUGAAAUCGGCUACAGGAUGUGUAGGAUAGGUGGGAGACUGUGAUCUGGCUUCGCUAGGAGUCAGUUAGUCAACGUUGAAAUACCACCCUUUCUGUAUCUGGUGUCUAACUCCCUAAUGGGGAGGACAUUGUUUGGCGGGUAGUUUGACUGGGGUGGUCGCCUCCAAAAAGGUAACGGAGGCUUUCAAAGGUAAGCUCAGUACGCUUGGUAACCGUACGCGGAGUGCAAUAGCAUAAGCUUGCUUGACUGUGAGGCAGACAAGCCGAGCAGGGUCGAAAGACGGAUAUAGUGAUCCGGUGGUUCUGCAUGGAAGGGCCAUCGUUCAAAGGAUAAAAGGUACGCUGGGAUAACAGGCUGAUCUCCCCCAAGAGCUCAUAUCGACGGGGAGGUUUGGCACCUCGAUGUCGGCUCGUCACAUCCUGGGGCUGGAGAAGGUCCCAAGGGUUGAGCUGUUCGCUCAUUAAAGUGGCACGCGAGCUGGGUUCAGAACGUCGCGAGACAGUUCGGUCCCUAUCUGUUGUGGGCGCAGGAAGUUUGAGUGGGGCUGACCUUAGUACGAGAGGACCGGGUUGGACGAACCUCUGGUGAAUCUGUUAUGGCGCCAGCUGUAUUGCAGAGUAGCUACGUUCGGAAUAGAUAAGCGCUGAAUGCAUCUAAGUGCGAAACUAGCCACAAGAUGAGACUUCCAUUGAGGGUCGUAGCAGACUACUACGUUGAUAGGUUACAGGUAUAAAGGUGGUGACAUCAUAGCCGAGUAAUACUAAUCGCCC